Molecule: ribosomal RNA, 305 nt
Filed under: uncultured bacterium
Lineage: Bacteria
Description: bacterial SSU rRNA
Rfam family: Bacterial small subunit ribosomal RNA
Source: RNAcentral
UCCUACGGGAGGCAGCAGUGAGGAAUAUUGGUCAAUGGUCGGGAGACUGAACCAGCCAAGCCGCGUGAGGGAUGAAGGUACAGAGUAUCGUAAACCUCUUUUGUCAGGGAACAAAGGCGGGGACGUGUCCCCGGAUGAGUGUACCUGAAGAAAAAGCAUCGGCUAACUCCGUGCCAGCAGCCGCGGUAAUACGGAGAAUGCGAGCGUUAUCCGGAUUUAUUGGGUUUAAAGGGUGCGCAGGCGGUCUGUUAAGUCAGCGGUCAAAGCCCGGGGCUCAACCCCGGCCCGCCGUUGAAACUGGCAGU